Cyanistes caeruleus (blue tit) is the source of this 2032-nucleotide long non-coding RNA. The record is from Ensembl. NCBI's taxonomy places the organism in Eukaryota, Metazoa, Chordata, Aves, Passeriformes, Paridae.
AUGUGGGAGGAGGGAAUUUUCUGCUUCAUUCCCCCCUCCAUGGGAUGCUGUAUUUCCUUCUCUUCCUUCCUGGGCACUCAAUCUCCUGAUCAGGAAUUUUUUUGGGUGGAAAAGCUGAUUUUUCAAGAGGUUUUUGCACCUUCAGUGACUCGAUUUAGGAACAAUGCCAGUCCACCCUGGAAAAGGAAGGUGUUUAAAGAUAAAUCCUUAUCCACUGACACCAUUUUCACACUCCCAUCAGAGCAGUUCCCACUUUUCCCUGCACCUAAUCCCAGUUCUCCUCUGCUGCAGUUUCCCUCCUUGCUCUGGCUUUGGAUUUCAUCAGCCAAAAGGACACAGCCUUUCCAUCUCAGAACAAAGUGCUCCUCUGAAUUUCUCCUUCCUGAGGAAGGAAAAGACAGAAGGUUCCAACGUUGGCAGGUUGAUUAGAGGAGCUAAUUGCAUUUUUAUUAAUGGGCCUGCUAGAUUUUCUCAGCAGAGGAGUUGCCAGGCCUGCAGCAACCCAAGGCCUGAUUUUGCUUCUUGUUGUGCUUUGAGGGUUGGUGCUCACCAGAGGGACAAGGUGGAUUUAAUCAUGUAAAAACUGGAGUCGGCGUGGAGCCUCUAAUUUAAUAUGGAAUGUGGGAAGGAAAGGGAGAAAAUGAACAAGGAGAUAAAAGGAUAAUUAUAAGAAUGAUAAAAUCACCGAAGAGACCAUGGGCAGGGACACCUUCACUGCUCCAGGCUGCUCCAGCCUGGCCUGGGCACUUCCAGGGAUCCAGGAACAGCCACAGCUGCUCUGGGAAUCUGUUCCAGGGCCUCCCCACCUUCACUGGGAUGAAUUUCUUCCUAAAAUAUUUGUCUGUGGAGCAGCAACCACAUCUCCCAGCUUCCAGAAAAACUUCCAGACCGGGAAGGUCCCUGAUCCAGAGCCAGCCCUUCUCCUGGUGACAAAGCCAGCAGCUGGCAGGGGACAGGCUGGGGGUUUGGACUGCAUCCUCCCCAUCCCCAUGGCACAAAACAGAGCUCCUGUAACCCCCAGCACACUCCUGCCUGGUUGUGACCGACCUGCUGAGGCUUCCCGGGAGAAACCUGGAAUCUGACGUUGCUCCUGGCCAGUAUCUGCAUUAAAACCCACAAUUGUUCCCUGUAUUUUAUGCAGAAAUCUCACUUUAAGUGCUUGAAGAAGAAACCCACCCACUUCCACGCAGAACAUUUGUUUAUUGAUGGUUUUACCACGCAUCUGUUGACGCCACAAUUCCGUCUUCCACGAGAGAAAGAGGAAGAACAAAGGAAAAAUGACACAUCGAGUCUGAGAGGAGAAUUCCUGAUUCUGCUCGGGAAUGGGAGCUGAGCAAGCAGAAAACAAAAGCUUCUGUAGAAAUACAGCCCAGAUGUAGCUCCAAAUUGUUAAUCAGCAAAACUCUGUGUUCGAUAAAAAAGAUUUGAUAAGGAAUCCUGUCUGUUGGACACCAGUGUCACUCAUCCAGGGCCCUCAUGAGCAAUUCCUAUUUUUGAAUUAAUGAAUAAUGUGCACAAUGUUUGAUAAGCUUCCUCCACCAAGCCAUGCAAGCACAGAAUGUACAAUCCUAAUUAGCUGCUUUGCCCGGCUACUUAAAAUGUUUUUCACAUGCCAGCAAAUGUAAAUACACAAUUAGGACAUGCUUAGUUAAAAGGCAAAGUGAGAUAAAGUACAACUAUUAUUAGCCAGAACAAAAAUCUUCAUGAUCUUCAUCAUAGCGAGGGCUAAUUAGGUUGGGAAAAUGUGCAAAUGAGCUCAGCUGAUUGUUCAGGGUUUGGAAAGCAGAGCCCAGCUGGAAAGUCCAAGACUGAGGGUGUUGAGGGGUGGGUUUGUGAUUAUUGGUUCUGGGGGCUGCUGUCUGCACAAGUGUGAAAAUAGUCAGCAUUUGUGUUAACAGGAAUUGGGAAAGAGGUCAUAGGAGAUCUUCAUGGCAGAUGAACCCCAAAAAAUGUCAAUUCUAUCAGCUGGUUUGUGUGGCUGGGUGUCUUUCUAUUCAUAUUUGGGGAGUGAAUAAAAUUCAGCUCAUUGUCA